CAAUAGCGUAUAUUUAAGUUGCUGCAGUUAAAAAGCUCGUAGUUGGAUUUCGGGUGGGAAUGGCCGGUCCGCCGUUUCGGUGUGCACUUGCUACGCCCACCUUGCUGCCGGGGACGUGCUCUUGAGUUCACGCUCGGGACACGGAGUCGGCGAGGUUACUUUGAGUAAAUUAGAGUGUUCAAAGCAGGCCUACGCUCUGAAUACAUUAGCAUGGAAUAACACGAUAGGACUCUGGCCUAUCUUGUUGGUCUGUAGGACCGGAGUAAUGAUUAAGAGGGACAGUCGGGGGCACUCGUAUUUCAUUGUCAGAGGUGAAGUUCUUGGAUUUAUGAAAGACGAACUACUGCGAAAGCAUUUGCCAAGGAUGUUUUCAUUAA
This 377-nucleotide ribosomal RNA is filed under the name uncultured eukaryote. Its description in RNAcentral is "partial 18S ribosomal RNA". It matches the Rfam family "Eukaryotic small subunit ribosomal RNA", at positions 592 to 976 of the family's 1831-position model. The record is from RNAcentral.